CGAAUGCUGACAUAAGUAACGAUAAAGCGGGUGAAAAGCCCGCUCGCCGGAAGACCAAGGGUUCCUGUCCAACGUUAAUCGGGGCAGGGUGAGUCGACCCCUAAGGCGAGGCCGAAAGGCGUAGUCGAUGGGAAACAGGUUAAUAUUCCUGUACUUGGUGUUACUGCGAAGGGGGGACGGAGAAGGCUAUGUUGGCCGGGCGACGGUUGUCCCGGUUUAAGCGUGUAGGCUGGUUUUCCAGGCAAAUCCGGAAAAUCAAGGCUGAGGCGUGAUGACGAGGCACUACGGUGCUGAAGCAACAAAUGCCCUGCUUCCAGGAAAAGCCUCUAAGCAUCAGGUAACAUCAAAUCGUACCCCAAACCGACACAGGUGGUCAGGUAGAGAAUACCAAGGCGCUUGAGAGAACUCGGGUGAAGGAACUAGGCAAAAUGGUGCCGUAACUUCGGGAGAAGGCACGCUGAUAUGUAGGUGAAGUCCCUCGCGGAUGGAGCUGAAAUCAGUCGAAGAUACCAGCUGGCUGCAACUGUUUAU
RNAcentral lists this ribosomal RNA (531 nucleotides) under Escherichia coli. RNAcentral's name for it is "partial 23S ribosomal RNA". It matches the Rfam family "Bacterial large subunit ribosomal RNA", at positions 1291 to 1807 of the family's 2925-position model. Lineage: Bacteria; Pseudomonadati; Pseudomonadota; Gammaproteobacteria; Enterobacterales; Enterobacteriaceae. The record is from RNAcentral.